AAGCCGGAAGUCCCCGCCCGAGAGAACAGUCCCCAGGGCUUGCUAAGCAUGCGUGGUAUCAAGAGGCGCAUUGAGGUGCUCCUACAGCCUCCUCCCCGCAUGGGACUCCUCACCACCCCCGGCCUCAGCCUCCCCCACAGGGCAGAGGCUCACGCUCACCCACUCUGGACCAGGAACGCAGCCGGCUUGCCUUUUGUCCAGUUGGGGGCUCUUUCUUUGCGACUGAUACAAAGUGGGGACAAACUCCGCUUCCAGUGAUGCCCGGGCCCCAGGAGGCUGGGGGAGAAGUGCCCGCUGCCCGGCCUUCAACCUGAGCUGCCUCCAACACUUCCGAACCCAGAUCCCUGCAGCUGUGAGGAUUAUCUUGGCACCAUGGGAAUCACUUCCUUUACUCUCGCUGACCGCCCCGGGACAUAUCUUUAAAAAUUGGAACAUCUUUCGGGUAGAUGAGCUAAAAAGGAAAAGACAUCUUAUGUUACACUGUUUGGCCUGGGUACAAGUUCGCUGACAAUGAAAAGUGGUCAGAGAGUGGAACCAAACCAUGAGCUUCAUCGACAUCCUGCAGCUCUGUCUUUCCGUAGGAAUCAGGGACAAUGGUCCUAAGUACCCUAUAAGCAAGCAUGUGUGGCCUUACAACAGAACCCGGCUCUACGCAGAAGCUGCAGGCUAAAAUCCAGUACAAUAGGGACUUGCCCAGCUGGAGGUACUCGCACUGGGACAUCACACCAUCCAGGGCCAGAGAAACUGCUCCCCUUAUGGGAGGUCCCGAAUGGAGAGGGGACCAUUAUGGCACAUGUCCCAUAAAUGAUCUAAUUUAUGGACUCACAUCAAUAAAUGAUCGAAUCCAAUGGAAGCAAAAAAACAAAAACUCACCUUCUGUAGCAGAGAAAUGGAGAGUAGCCCUAGGAGUCCCCCCAAAACUGAAAGAAACACCAUGUCUGGUUGUGGGAGGAACACCUCGUUCAGUUGUGGGAGAAACGCCUCGUCUGGUUGGCUCCUUUCCAAAGCAGCCGGACUCUGUGCCCUGAAGGUGGCCUGGCUGCCUUAGGGCAGUCACAGCCAUCGCCACUCCAGUAGAAGAAGCCCAAAACCUGACUUUUUUUUUUUUUUUUUUU
This is a long non-coding RNA of Piliocolobus tephrosceles (Ugandan red Colobus), 1115 nucleotides long. RefSeq lists it as uncharacterized. The transcript has 3 exons. Lineage: Eukaryota; Metazoa; Chordata; Mammalia; Primates; Cercopithecidae. The record is from RefSeq and is a predicted model, not a curated record.